CGGGGGAGGCCGGAUCCUGGGCUGUGUCCCGGCGCCCUGUGCUCCGGAGCCUGCGCUGUUGGAUUCGCGCUCCCGGGCCGCGCAGCUCCCU
Canis lupus familiaris (dog) is the source of this 91-nucleotide non-coding RNA. The record is from Rfam. NCBI's taxonomy places the organism in Eukaryota, Metazoa, Chordata, Mammalia, Carnivora, Canidae.